Molecule: transfer RNA, 72 nt
Filed under: Ovis aries (sheep)
Lineage: Eukaryota; Metazoa; Chordata; Mammalia; Artiodactyla; Bovidae
Rfam family: tRNA
About the family: Transfer RNA (tRNA) molecules are approximately 80 nucleotides in length. Their secondary structure includes four short double-helical elements and three loops (D, anti-codon, and T loops).
Source: Rfam by way of RNAcentral
UUCCUGGUGGCUCAGAUGGUAAAGAAUCUGCCUGCAAUGCAGGAGACUCAGGUUCAAGCCCUGGGUUGGAAA